CUACGGGUCGCAGCAGUGAGGAAUUUUGCGCAAUGGGGGAAACCCUGACGCAGCAACGCCGCGUGAGUGAAGAAGGCCCUUGGGUCGUAAAGCUCUGUCAAUGGGGAAGAAGUUACUUGGUAUUAAUAGUGCCUUGUAUUGACGGUACCCAUGAAGGAAGCACCGGAUAACUCCGUGCCAGGCAGCCGCGGUAAUACGGGGGGUGCAAGCGUUAUUCGGAAUUAUUGGGCGUAAAGGGCACGCAGGCGGUCCUGUCAGUCAGAUGUGAAAGCCCGGGGCUCAACCCCGGACGUGCAUUUGAAACAGCAGGACUUGAGUACGGGAGAGGAAAGGGGAAUUCCUGGUGUAGAGGUGAAAUUCGUAGAUAUCAGGAGGAACGCCGGUGGCGAAGGCGCCUUUCUGGACCGAUACUGACGCUGAGGUGCGAAGGCGUGGGUAGCGAACGGGAUUAGAUACCCGUGUAGUC
RNAcentral lists this ribosomal RNA (466 nucleotides) under uncultured bacterium. RNAcentral's name for it is "partial 16S ribosomal RNA". It matches the Rfam family "Bacterial small subunit ribosomal RNA", at positions 339 to 795 of the family's 1533-position model. The record is from RNAcentral.